ACAAUCCUAUACAAGUGAUGAUGUUUGACCAGUGCCAUAGGUUGGUGCAAAAUUAUGUGUCCUUGAUAUAGCAACAUAUAUUUUUAUGAACCGUAGUGUUCUUCCCACUUUUAAGUGUGAAGAACACUCUAUUGUUGUGGUUGCAGAUUGCAGCUUCAUUUGCAUCGGAUGAAGGAUCCUGCAGAUGCUUAAAAGUUUUUUUUAUAACUUGACACAUGCCUAAAUUAGGCUCAGGGCUCUUUAACGAGAUAUCAUGCUUGCGAUAGUUCUGCUUGCGAAUGUUUCUGCUUGCGAAUGUAUCAUGCUUGCGAAUGUUUGCGAUAGUUCUAGGAGCACCUGACAGCAGGCCUGCUGUGGCGAAGCAUGAAGAUACAGACGUGCGAGAGAUAAUUGAAGCUGAUGCUAUCUUUCGCAAAGGUGACACGUGCGUAAGUGCACCGUCAGUUGACCUGUUAGAUCGGGAAAGUGGCUAGUGGAUAGACUGGUGGCACCACUGUGCACGGAUAUAUAGCUUGGCGUUUCCUGAAAAUAAAAAUUGUUGAAGCUAGCGCAUUGUGUUGUCCACUCCCUCAUGUCCCUGUCUCUUAGCGCUCAAUAUGUCGUCAAGUUCUAUUUACCAGCAAGCCCAAAAAAUGGCACUAUCAAAAUACAAUACGCUUUGAAAUAUUUUAGAUCACGUGCACACAAAAUUUAAAAAUGAAAUUUUGAACUCAAUUUUCUCCUCUAUCAAUACACCUAUGAUGGUGAAAUAAAUUACGCUAUAGAACUCUGAGCACAAUUUAUCAAUCUUAACAAAUUCAUUGUUUCUCUUUUGUGUCCCUUUAAUGUGUUGCACCUAACAUCAUGUUUCUUUUUAUCUCAAAUAUUGUUUAUGUAGCAUGAACUUCAAUGAGACCACUACGUAAUCUCUAUGUAAAUAGUCUUCCAAAGUCCAAUAUGCUUAUUUGCAGGACUCUUGGAAAGUAUCCAUCCAGUAUAAAUUCGGGUACAUGCGAAGAACUCUCAGUACUCUGCCUGCUGUGCAGGAAGCCAAGGAGGUCUAUGGAAAACGGAAACCUCAAGAUAGUGCCAUUGCUGCACAAACUAAACGGCAACGCCGCGUGGUAGCAAUUUCUGUUUUUAAGUUCAUUUCAAUGUUUUACAAGUAACAUUUGCAUGUGGCUUAGCUCGCUAAUAACAGUCUACGGCUUCAUCAUCGCUUGAGUAAGUGAAAUGUUUUGGCACUAAAACGGCACUCCGCAUGAGCUGUCUUUUUCUGCUUCAACAAGCCCCAUUUUAAAAAAAAUAAAAAAUGUGGGGGGGGGGUUAAUGACAUAACUAGGUAGCAUCAUGUUGCCUUAAUUCCAGGAAGACUAUGGUUGCCUUAUACAAGUGUUCGUUCUACUUUUUUUUUUUACCCUGUUAGACAACAAGCAUCCCAUAUGAUGACCACGAUGAAGGUGUUUUAGUGGGACACUUGGAAUUCAUGUCCAAAGAGAUGUCGAAGCGUGCUCCGGACCUCCAGAAAUUGAGCGAAUCGAUGAAGCAGACACGCUCUUCUAGGAGGUCGUGGAUGAAAGAUACAGUGCCUACAACAGCUGAGAUACUUGAAAAGUAUCCCGCUUUAGGAAAUGUUGAGAUGCUUCAUGAAGAAUUUACAGCAAUAACAAGCAUCCAGAUGGAAAAAAAAGCUGUUGGAAUUUUUCAACAACUUUGGACCCAGGAUUCUGGAGCUACUGAAAACUCGCCAUUCAACAAAGGACCUGGUGAAGGAGCUCGAGAAGGAGCUUGAAAAACUGGAAGGCAAUAGCCGUAAAUAUCGAUUUGCAGUUGCCUUAAUAGAACUCCUCCCACUGCUGCUGAAAGAGAAGCCGAAAUUUCUGAGGGGCCCUGACAUCUACCCUGCUCUUUGUUUUGAGGGAACAAGUAUCAGAGAGGCCGAAGAAAUGACCGUAGUGUUUGAGGCAUUCAACAUUCAUGUCGUCGAUGUUAUAGCCGGCAUGACGGCUAUCAUGGAACUGUAUUGGGUACUGGACAUCAUGUACUCGGAGAGUAACAAAAACACCUUAACGCUCCUCGAGUACUUUUGUGGACUACCAAGUGUGCCCAGAGCACCACUACUUUUAAGGACGAUUUCGUCGAUCAAGAGCUGAUCUGACAGCAAUGUGCAAUAAGCAGAGCUUAUAUAAUAAAGAUUGAAGUGUGUGUAUCAAA
Molecule: long non-coding RNA, 2193 nt
Organism: Rhipicephalus microplus (southern cattle tick)
Lineage: Eukaryota; Metazoa; Arthropoda; Arachnida; Ixodida; Ixodidae
Source: RefSeq, a predicted model, not a curated record